GCCAGGCAUGGUGGUGCAUGCCUGUAGUCCCAGCUACUUGGGAGGCUGAGGCAGGAGGAUCACCUGAGCCCAGGAAGUCAAGGUUGCAGUGAGCUAUGAUCAUGCCACUGCACUCCAGCCUGAGCAACAGCGUGCUAUCCUGUCUCAA
This is a non-coding RNA of Pan troglodytes (chimpanzee), 148 nucleotides long. It matches the Rfam family "Metazoan signal recognition particle RNA". Rfam says of the family: The signal recognition particle (SRP) is a universally conserved ribonucleoprotein. The record is from Rfam. Lineage: Eukaryota; Metazoa; Chordata; Mammalia; Primates; Hominidae.